Molecule: ribosomal RNA, 460 nt
Filed under: uncultured bacterium
Lineage: Bacteria
Description: partial 16S ribosomal RNA
Rfam family: Bacterial small subunit ribosomal RNA
Source: RNAcentral
CCUACGGGAGGCAGCAGUGAGGAAUAUUGGUCAAUGGGCGAGAGCCUGAACCAGCCAAGUCGCGUGAAGGAUGAAGGAUCUAUGGUUUGUAAACUUCUUUUAUAUGGGAAUAAAGUGAGGAACGUGUUCCUUUUUGUAUGUACCAUAUGACUAAGCAUCGGCUAACUCCGUGCCAGCAGCCGCGGUAAUACGGCGGAUGCGAGCGUUAUCCGGAUUUAUUGGGUUUAAAGGGUGCGUAGGUGGUUAAUUAAGUCAGCGGUGAAAGUUUGUGGCUCAACCAUAAAAUUGCCGUUGAAACUGGUUGACUUGAGUAUAUUUGAGGUAGGCGGAAUGCGUGGUGUAGCGGUGAAAUGCAUAGAUAUCACGCAGAACUCCGAUUGCGAAGGCAGCUUACUAAACUAUAACUGACACUGAAGCACGAAAGCGUGGGGAUCGAACAGGAUUAGAUACCCUAGUAGUC